GCGCACCAAGCGCGAAACUUUACAAUGUGCGAAAGCACGAUAAGGGAACUCUGAGUGCCUCCUAAGGAGGCUGCUCUGAUGUCUAAAAAGCAACAGAAGUAAGGGCUGGGUAAGACCGGUGCCAGCCGCCGCGGUAACACCGGCACGCCCAAGUGGUAGCCACGUUUAUUGGGUCUAAAGCGUUCGUAGCCGGCCAGGUAAGUUCCUUGGUAAAUUUAGCCGCUUAACGGUUAAGCUUUCAGGGAAUACUGCUUGGCUUGGGACUGGGAGAGGUCAGAGGUACGUCCGGGGGUAGGGUGAAAUCUAUUAAUCCCGUGGGGGACCACCGGUAGCGAAGGCGUCUGACCAGACCAGGUCCGACGGUGAGGGACGAAGGCGUAGGGGCGCGAACCGGAUUAGAUACCCGGGUAGU
Molecule: ribosomal RNA, 412 nt
Filed under: uncultured microorganism
Description: bacterial SSU rRNA
Rfam family: Archaeal small subunit ribosomal RNA
Source: RNAcentral